Molecule: long non-coding RNA, 809 nt
Organism: Dermochelys coriacea (leatherback sea turtle)
Lineage: Eukaryota; Metazoa; Chordata; Testudines; Dermochelyidae
Exons: 3
Source: RefSeq, a predicted model, not a curated record
GGAAGAGAAUCUGCAAUCCUUCUCCGGGAUGAGCGAGACAGAACCCAGGUGGGAAAGGCCUGGUAUCUUCACCUGAUUAGGAGUGGAGGAGACUAAACAAUCCCAGUAAUCCCAGACUAAAUAAUCAUCAGAGGCUGAAGAUCGUUUGGUGAGGACGUUUGGAUUGUGUAUUUGUUGGACCCAAUUAUCCCAGGAGGGUGGACUAAAUUGUGACCUGGCCAGAGGGCUGAGUUAGGAGACAAAAGACACCCCAGCACCAGAGAGCAAUCAUCGGUCGUAAGCACCAGGCUGGGAGAGAGCCUCUGUGCCGUGUCUGGCUACAAGGAGACACUCCAGUGGGAUGAACUCGUUCUUUCCAGAACAGCCCAAGGGGAAGCGCCUACCCAUCCUGGCUUUCCCCACUGCUGAGGAGAGUGUUCAGAGCAGCUUUCUGGGGCCCUGCUAGAUCUGGACAGAGCUUCAGAUUCUCCAGGAUCUGAGGGUUGGAGUCUGUGAUGGCUGCUGGAUCCAUGUCACACACCAACGCACCGAGACUGCUAAGCUGCUCCUUGCUGAGAGUGUUAUUCAUCCCGCCCUGGGGGAAAGGGCAACACAGCAGGUGCCAGAAUUGUCUUAUAAACCAGGCAACUCCCCAGAGCUGGGCGAGUGAGAUCAAUAUGUUUUGCAAUAUUUCUGAGUGAACUAUUCAAACUUGUUUUCCUUCAGUAUUCACCUGGCUUACAAGCAAAAGGCCGCGUCUGACCACUAUAUCUUACAACAGACAGUAACUUACUCAAUUACUCGGUGAGUAAUUUAUAACUCAAUAUUAA